Molecule: ribosomal RNA, 390 nt
Filed under: uncultured bacterium
Lineage: Bacteria
Description: bacterial SSU rRNA
Rfam family: Bacterial small subunit ribosomal RNA
Source: RNAcentral
UACGAAGGUGGCAAGCGUUGUUCGGAUUUACUGGGCGUACAGGGAGCGUAGGCGGUUGGGUAAGCCCUCCGUGAAAUCUCCGGGCCUAACCCGGAAAGGGCGGAGGGGACUGCUCGGCUAGAGGAUGGGAGAGGAGCGCGGAACUCCCGGUGUAGCGGUGAAAUGCGUAGAGAUCGGGAGGAAGGCCGGUGGCGAAGGCGGCGCUCUGGAACAUUUCUGACGCUGAGGCUCGAAAGCGUGGGGAGCAAACAGGAUUAGAUACCCUGGUAGUCCACGCCUUAAACGAUGGAUACUCAGUGUCGGCGGGUUACCGCCGGUGCCGCAGCUAACGCAUUAACUAUCCCGCCUGGUAAGUACGGCCGCAAGGUUGAAUCUCAAAGGAAUUGACGG